GACGAACGCUGGCGGCGCGCCUAAUACAUGCAAGUCGAGCGCAGGAAGUCAUCCGAACCCUUCGGGGGGACGUUGACGGAAUGAGCGGCGGACGGGUGAGUAACACGUAAAGAACCUGCCCUCAGGUCUGGGAUAACCACGAGAAAUCGGGGCUAAUACCGGAUGGGUCAUCGGACCGCAUGGUCCGAGGAUGAAAGGCGCUCCGGCGUCGCCUGGGGAUGGCUUUGCGGUGCAUUAGCUAGUUGGUGGGGUAAUGGCCCACCAAGGCGACGAUGCAUAGCCGACCUGAGAGGGUGAUCGGCCACACUGGGACUGAGACACGGCCCAGACUCCUACGGGAGGCAGCAGUAGGGAAUCUUCCACAAUGGACAAAAGUCUGAUGGAGCAACGCCGCGUGAACGAUGAAGGCCCUCGGGUCGUAAAGUUCUGUUGUAAGGGAAGAACAAGUGCCGCAGGCAAUGGCGGCACCUUGACGGUACCUUGCGAGAAAGCCACGGCUAACUACGUG
This 508-nucleotide ribosomal RNA is filed under the name uncultured bacterium. RNAcentral describes it as "partial 16S ribosomal RNA". It matches the Rfam family "Bacterial small subunit ribosomal RNA", at positions 28 to 507 of the family's 1533-position model. The record is from RNAcentral.